AAGAGGCUUUGGGGGGAGGAGGAGAGUGGGUAGCGGUGGGAGAGUGGCAGAAGAAGAGAGGUCGAGAGGAGAAGGAAGGAAGGGAAUGGGAGAUAAGUGAGCGGCGUGGGAGGUGCGAGAAUGGAAUGGUGAUGGUGGUGGUGGUGGUGGUGACGGUGGUGGUGGAGGUGAGAAGGGGUUUGAGGAAAAGGGAGAAGGAAGAAGAUGAUGGUGGUGGUGGGCGGUGGAGGAGGAGGUGGAGCCGGUGACAGGUUGGAGCUCCUACUGCUGCUGCUGCCGCCGCCAUUUUCUUUUCGGCUGGUUCUUAGCUUUACCC
This 316-nucleotide long non-coding RNA is filed under the name Malus domestica (apple). Its description in RNAcentral is "long non-coding RNA (MDOM_LNC009129)". Lineage: Eukaryota; Viridiplantae; Streptophyta; Magnoliopsida; Rosales; Rosaceae. The record is from RNAcentral.